Long non-coding RNA from Dendroctonus ponderosae (mountain pine beetle), 206 nucleotides. RefSeq lists it as uncharacterized. The transcript has 3 exons. NCBI's taxonomy places the organism in Eukaryota, Metazoa, Arthropoda, Insecta, Coleoptera, Curculionidae. The record is from RefSeq and is a predicted model, not a curated record.
UAUAGGCCUUGAGUAUUUUCAAAAUAGGAAGGAACCGACAAUUUCGGCGAGGUGGCGAAUUUCAGCCAAGAGACCACAGAAAGAAAUAUGGAAAUGUCCAAACGAGGAGGCAUAUGGCGAUCACAAAUCAUUAUUUAUUAUUUAGGCAGAUCCAGUUAGUUAACUACAUUAUGUCAUUCAAACUGCGAAAACAUAGGAAGAAACGU